This 212-nucleotide unclassified non-coding RNA is filed under the name Hevea brasiliensis (rubber tree). Lineage: Eukaryota; Viridiplantae; Streptophyta; Magnoliopsida; Malpighiales; Euphorbiaceae. The record is from RNAcentral.
ACCAAACGGAAGGUACCUAAAGUCAUUGCCAUUGGCCUCAACCUUAGCCUCCUCUUCCAAGAACCUCUCGGGCCUGAACUCUUCUGGGUUCUUCCAGUUGUCAGGGUUGUUUGCAAGCCACCACGCGUUUACCAAGAUUUUGCUCUCAGCAGGGAUGUCAUAGCCAGAGAGCUUUGCAUCGUGGAGGUUCAUGUGGGGGACUAAGAGGGGAA